ACGUCCCUGCCCUUUGUACACACCGCCCGUCGCUACUACCGAUUGAAUGGCUUAGUGAGACUCUCGGAUUAGGGCUAAGGAAUCGGAAACGGUUUCUUUUUCUCGAGAAGUUUGUCAAACUUGGUCAUUUAGAGGAAGUAAAAGUCGUAACAAGGUUUCCGUAGGUGAACCUGCGGAAGGAUCAUUAGAAUAUUCAAGAAUCUAUUUUCCUAAUACUUUAUUCAAAAAUUUUCAAUCUAUAAAUUUUUUUUUUUUUUUAAGAUAUUAAAAGAUAACUUUCAACAACGGAUCUCUUGGCUCUUGCAUCGAUGAAGAACGCAGCGAAAUGCGAUACGUAAUGUGAAUUGCAGAAUUCAGUGAAUCAUCGAAUCUUUGAACGCAUAUUGCACUCUCUGGUAUUCCGGAGAGUAUGCCUGUUUCAGUAUCAAUAAAACCUCGAACCCCUUCUCUCUCUCACUUGGGCUUGGGAAGGAAAUCGGAAAUGGGUCAUUUUGAACACCUUUUUUUGGUGUUCUAGCCUGAAAUACAAUCGCGAUCUGGGAGCCAUUUGGAAGGCGUCAUAGUUGGCCGUCAGGUCAUCUUUCGCCGAAAUCCUUUUGUGUUCCAUAUUGAUUGCGCGCCACAUUUUUUUUUUUAAAUUGAUCUGAAAUCAGGUAGGAUUACCCGCUGAACUUAAGCAUAUCAAUAAGCGGAGGAAAAGAAACUAACAAGGAUUCCCUUAGUAACGGCGAGUGAAGCGGGAAAAGCUCAAAUUUGGAAUCUGACGUCUUUUCGGCGUACGAGUUGUAAACUAGAGAGGCGUUUUCGGCGGGCGCCUGGGUAUAAGUCCUCUGGAACUGGGCAUCAUAGAGGGUGAGAAUCCCGUCUUUGACCCGGAGCAGCCUGCUAUGUGAUACGUCUUCAAAGAGUCGGUUUGUUUGGGAAUGCAGACCAAAAUGGGUGGUAAAUUCCAUCUAAAGCUAAAUACAGGCGAGAGACCGAUAGCGAACAAGUACCGUGAGGGAAAGAUGAAAAGUACUUUGAAAAGAGAGUUAAACAGUACGUGAAAUUGUUGAAAGGGAAACGAUUGAAGUCAGUCAUGCUAGUGAGGAAUCAACUUGGUGGUUUACUUCUUUGUGCAUUUUCUCGCUUGGCAGGUUAGCAUCAAUUUUGGUUGUCAUCAAAGAAUUGGGGGAAUGUGGCUUUUCUUCGGUAAAGUGUUAUAGACUCUGAUUGAUGUGGCGACUGGGAUUGAGGUUUGCAGCGGAUGCCUCUUGUGGCUAGUCACCUGUCUUCUGACCGUCACCUCGUUUUUGACAGCUUGCUGAUGAUUGCGGGAUUUGGCGAUCUAGGAGUUAGAGUGAAUAUAAAUUCGCUAAGGAUGCUGACGUAAUGGCUUUAAACGACCCGUCUUGAAACACGG
Molecule: ribosomal RNA, 1402 nt
Filed under: uncultured Glomeromycotina
Lineage: Eukaryota; Fungi; Glomeromycota
Description: eukaryotic LSU rRNA
Rfam family: Eukaryotic large subunit ribosomal RNA (bases 640-1402)
Source: RNAcentral